RNAcentral lists this long non-coding RNA (222 nucleotides) under Jatropha curcas. RNAcentral describes it as "long non-coding RNA (JCUR_LNC003387)". The record is from RNAcentral. Lineage: Eukaryota; Viridiplantae; Streptophyta; Magnoliopsida; Malpighiales; Euphorbiaceae.
AUAAAGCCCAUGCAUCAGUAGUGGGAUGCAAGAUUAAGAUCCUCCGCAUGCGAUACUGAGAUGGGUUAUAAGGAAGGGAAGUAGGAGCAGCAACCACUUGUAGGUGAUCCUUCAACCAAACCUGAGUAAUGGAUCCUUUAUAUUACGAGGGAAUGGUUUAAAAAGAAAAAAAAAUGAGAAAAGAUAAUAAGGAUAAAUACCUAGAGAAUAAUGGGAGAAACU